Molecule: non-coding RNA, 67 nt
Organism: Ciona intestinalis (vase tunicate)
Lineage: Eukaryota; Metazoa; Chordata; Ascidiacea; Phlebobranchia; Cionidae
Source: RefSeq
UUCCCAGUCUAAUUCACACACGAAUGUGCUUGAUCGAAAAAACAGUGUUUGAGGUAGAACUGGAGGA